This is a long non-coding RNA of Pelobates fuscus (common spadefoot toad), 291 nucleotides long. RefSeq lists it as uncharacterized. The transcript has 3 exons. NCBI's taxonomy places the organism in Eukaryota, Metazoa, Chordata, Amphibia, Anura, Pelobatidae. The record is from RefSeq and is a predicted model, not a curated record.
UUACUGCCCGGACCGGGGAGCUGGAGACAUGACAUGGGGUUUCAUGCUGCUGUCUCUUUACAAACCUUUGCAGACCUGAGGAAUUGCCAAAGAUAGUUGUUGAAGACAUCGCUAUUUAAAACACAAAGCACAACCCUGAUGUGCCUUCAUAUAUAGCGUAUAUGGCUAAAAAUAUGUGGACCCCCUACUAAUUGUUGAGUUAAGGUAUUUCAACCUCACACAUUGCUAACAAGUUACUACAUCUGAACUGCUCAACUGUAUGUGCGCUCAUUGGGAUGCUACAAAUCCUAG